Molecule: long non-coding RNA, 1047 nt
Organism: Parus major (Great Tit)
Lineage: Eukaryota; Metazoa; Chordata; Aves; Passeriformes; Paridae
Exons: 2
Source: RefSeq, a predicted model, not a curated record
GUGCUGGGGACAUGUCCAGGCUGUUCCAUCUCCUCCUGGGGAGCUCCUGCCUUUCCUUGUGUUAAUCCACCCAGACUCUCCCUGUUUUUUUCCAUGGGAUGAUGUAAAGUACAAAGGCUCCUUUCAGGAGUUCUUUGUUUUCCUGUGCAGUGAUUCAGCCCCUCAUCUCAGUCUCUCCUUCCCCAGCUGCUGCAGCCCUUCCCUCCUGAGCUGCUUCCAGCUCCUGCAUUAGAGUGAACAACAAUGCACUGUGGGGUGUUCCAGGCAGCCUUUUCCCCUCCAAUCCUUCGGGAAGUGUCCUCCUGAUGCUCCUGCUCCUGCUCCCUGGCAGUGGCUCAGCCUCUUCUGGGCUGCUUUUGUUGCUGGUGCCUGGCUCUAAGGGGUUAAUGCUGCCUUUUUCCAUGCAUUUGUUUUUUCCUGCCUGGGUAUUUUCAAGCUGACAGCCUGAGCACUGGAAAUGUUGGAGUGGGCAUUGGAUGGGGUGGGAUAAGUGAGUGGUGGGAAUAGGAGUGGAUUCCCUGGGAUUUAAUUCCAUGUCUGUGCCCAGCACUGUCCCUCCUGCACUUUGUGUGGUGAGGGACCUGGGAAUGUUUCAGGGAAUGAUUUUGUGCCCCCUUUGUAGGAUCCCAGACUGGAUUGGGAUGGAAGGGACCUUAAAACCCAUCCAGUCCCACAAGCUGAGACACUUCCCACUAUCCCAGUUCCUCCAAGCCCUGUCCAGCCUGGCUUUGGGCACUUUUGGGUGUAGCAUUCCCAAGCCUCCCAGCUCCUUCCUUCAUCCAGGCUGUGAAAACUUCCUUGGCAGAAAUCCAGCAACUCCUGGAGGACACAAUUCCAGUUUUUUCCUCACCCUGUGGAUGAAGGCACCACUGGGAUUUUUGUUUGCUGGGAAAUUGUUAAUGCAUGUCAGAAGUGUCUUCACCUCCCAUUGCUCCCAAGAAGCACAACAUGGAGAAAGAGGAUCUGUCCCGAGCCUGCAGAUGUCCUUGUGCCUUGUUAAGGGGAAUUUUAAUCAGGAAUUCAUUAAAUUGGAUCUGGGUGGGCUCA